CCAAUAGCGUAUAUUAAAGUUGCUGCAGUUAAAAAGCUCGUAGUUGAAUUUCGGGAUCAGUCUGUCGGUCGUGCCUCGGUACGUACUGGCAUUAUUGGUUCCUCCCUUCUGAAGAACCGCGAUGUCAUUAAUUUGGUGUCUCGGGGAAUCAGGACUGUUACUUUGAAAAAAUUAGAGUGUUUAAAGCAGGCUUGCGCUUGAAUACAUUAGCAUGGAAUAAUGAAAUAGGACGUUUGAUUCUAUUUUGUUGGUUUCUAGGAUCGACGUAAUGAUUAAUAGGGAUAGUUGGGGGCAUUAGUAUUCAAUUGUCAGAGGUGAAAUUCUUGGAUGUAUUGAAGACUAACUACUGCGAAAGCAUUUGCCAAGGAUGUUUUCAUUAAUCAAGAACGAAAGUUAGGGGAUCGAAGACGAUCAGAUACCGUCGUAGUCUUAACCAUAAACUAUGCCGACUAGGGAUCGGAUGAUGUUAAUUUUAUAAUGACUCAUUCGGCGCCUUACG
This 499-nucleotide ribosomal RNA is filed under the name uncultured Glomeromycotina. Its description in RNAcentral is "partial small subunit ribosomal RNA". It matches the Rfam family "Eukaryotic small subunit ribosomal RNA", at positions 591 to 1092 of the family's 1831-position model. The record is from RNAcentral. Lineage: Eukaryota; Fungi; Glomeromycota.